This 515-nucleotide ribosomal RNA is filed under the name Cesaphasma servillei. RNAcentral describes it as "partial large subunit ribosomal RNA". It matches the Rfam family "Bacterial large subunit ribosomal RNA", at positions 1828 to 2605 of the family's 2925-position model. The record is from RNAcentral. Lineage: Eukaryota; Metazoa; Arthropoda; Insecta; Phasmatodea; Pseudophasmatidae.
AUCUUUUCUUGUGUUUUAUUAGAGAUUUGACCUGCCCAAUGAAAAUUUUAAUGGCCGCGGUAUUUUGACCGUGCAAAGGUAGCAUAAUCAUUAGUUUAUUAAUUGUGGACUUGUAUGAAAGGUUGGACGAGAUAAUUACUGUCUCAUAUUUAUUUAUUGAAUUUGAUUUUUUAGUUAAAAAGCUUAAAUUUUUUUGUUGGACGAGAAGACCCUAUAGAUCUUUAUUAUUUAAUAUAUAUAUAUUUAUUGGUUUAUUUAUUUAUAUUGUAUUUUAUUAUUUUGUUGGGGUGAUAUGGAGAUAAAUGUAACUCUUUAAUUUAUUUACAAUGAUUUUUGUUUUAUUGACCUUAUAUUAAUGUUUAGAAGAUAUAGAUACCUUAGGGAUAACAGCGUAAUUUUUUUUGAGAGUUCAUAUCGACAAUAAAGAUUGCGACCUCGAUGUUGGAUUAAGAUUAAUAUAAGGUGUAGGUGCUUUAUAUAUUGAGUCUGUUCGACUUUUAAUUUCUUACAUGAUC